ACUUGAAAAAAGUAAUCAGAUUACAGUAACCCGUUACAAGUAACGCGUUACUGCCCAUCUCUGCUCAGCAUCACAGAACAUCCAGAAACAACAGAGAGUCUUCACAGACAGCUCACUGUGUAGAGCUCAGACAUCAUCAUAAUCUUCUGAAUGUUGUUGAUUGCAGCAGACAGUAAAACAAAUGCAGCUCAGCAGCCUUCAGACUGAAAUGAGAUGCUGCAGAGGAAAACUUCUUUUCUGAAAAUGCACUGGGCUUCACAUUCAUGUCCUUGUCCACAGCGAACACGGAGCAGAGAAUUUCCACCCAGUUUUUCUUUGUCACAGAAUAACAAAGGAAUAUUAUCUUCAGAAGAGCUCUGAUCACUUCAGGAUGUUUGCUGUCCACCAACUGAAACCUAAGAAAGAGAAUCCUGGGACUCUAACAACAACAACAACAUCCAUCCAUUCUCUUCCACUUAUCCCUGUCAGGGUUGCUGGAGCCUAUCAGGGUACACUGUGGACAGCUUGCCAGCCUGACGCAGGGCUAACACAUACAGACAGAAAAUCAUUCACACUCACAGUCAGCUCUAUGGGCAUUUUGGAUUCUCCAGUUAACCUAGCCCCACUAAUUGCAUGUCUUUAAACUGUGGGACGAAGCUGGACAAAGAAACCAUUAUGGCUGAGAAGACAAACAAAGAAACAGGAGGGCAACUGGAAGUACAAAGAACUUAGCAAAAAAUCUGAACUUGUAAAAGCUAAGAAAACAGAUCACAAGAGGCUGGAAAACAGAGACACAGGGAAACAGGCAGAAGGACUGCAGGGGCAACAUGGAGGAUGAUCACACAGAUGGCCUGACAAGGAACAGAGGAAAGCACAGACUGUUGCUGUGUCCAAAUUCAGGGGAAGGAUCCUUCGAAGGAUUCUACCUACCUGUGUCACGUAGGAAGGGUCUUUCGACGGCAGUGUAGGCCAGAAGUGAGCAGAUGUGAAAUUGGACGGCCUUCUAGCCUUCGUUCAAGUCCGCCCUUAAUUCCGUUUUUUUUCCAGUCACUAGCGCCACAGCGUGAAAAUUUUAUAAUGGACCCAACAAUGUCGCUAUGUUUAUGUGUCUUGGUGGCUGUUUCUUGUUCUGUCUGUGUUUUUAAGUCUUUGCAGGUCCCUGAUUGGAUAAACUGACGGCUGCUGAUUGGUCCCCUGAUCAUGUGGUUGCUUUGAAAAUCUGUCACCAGCAGUUGUCCCGGGGCAGCCACUGACAGCAGCAGCAGACCUGACCCUCCAAAAGCUGUGUCAUUCGUGUUUGAGAUUCUCGUAACUUACCGAGCUUUGUAUAUAGUGUGUACAUUAGUUUUCACUUGUAAAUAGCACAUUGUAAAUAGCACUGAAAUAGAAGGGGUGAGCUGCCUUAUUAUUUUUCCUUGCACUGUUUUCUCCUGUUUAUUUCAGUUAGGGAGUUAGGUGUAGCGUUUGUCUUUUGUUUGGUUUUUGUUUCACAUAGGGUUUUAGACAACACCCCCUCUCCUGACUUAGCUUGUUUUGUUUGUUAUUUUGGCCUUUUUUCACCCCGGAGCUUCAUUUUCAGUGUAGAAAAAUAA
Molecule: long non-coding RNA, 1571 nt
Organism: Oreochromis aureus
Lineage: Eukaryota; Metazoa; Chordata; Actinopteri; Cichliformes; Cichlidae
Exons: 4
Source: RefSeq, a predicted model, not a curated record